CCUGACUUGGCUGAUCUUGAAAAGCUAAGCAGGGUGAGGCUCAGUACUUGGAUAGGAGGCUGCCAGGGAAUCCCAGGGCUAGGUCAGGA
This 89-nucleotide ribosomal RNA is filed under the name Salvator merianae (Argentine black and white tegu). The record is from RNAcentral. Lineage: Eukaryota; Metazoa; Chordata; Lepidosauria; Squamata; Teiidae.